RNAcentral lists this ribosomal RNA (653 nucleotides) under Staphylococcus aureus. RNAcentral's name for it is "partial 23S ribosomal RNA". It matches the Rfam family "Bacterial large subunit ribosomal RNA", at positions 388 to 1043 of the family's 2925-position model. The record is from RNAcentral. Lineage: Bacteria; Bacillati; Bacillota; Bacilli; Caryophanales; Staphylococcaceae.
UUGUCUCUCUUGAGUGGAUCCUGAGUACGACGGAGCACGUGAAAUUCCGUCGGAAUCUGGGAGGACCAUCUCCUAAGGCUAAAUACUCUCUAGUGACCGAUAGUGAACCAGUACCGUGAGGGAAAGGUGAAAAGCACCCCGGAAGGGGAGUGAAAUAGAACCUGAAACCGUGUGCUUACAAGUAGUCAGAGCCCGUUAAUGGGUGAUGGCGUGCCUUUUGUAGAAUGAACCGGCGAGUUACGAUUUGAUGCAAGGUUAAGCAGUAAAUGUGGAGCCGUAGCGAAAGCGAGUCUGAAUAGGGCGUUUAGUAUUUGGUCGUAGACCCGAAACCAGGUGAUCUACCCUUGGUCAGGUUGAAGUUCAGGUAACACUGAAUGGAGGACCGAACCGACUUACGUUGAAAAGUGAGCGGAUGAACUGAGGGUAGCGGAGAAAUUCCAAUCGAACCUGGAGAUAGCUGGUUCUCUCCGAAAUAGCUUUAGGGCUAGCCUCAAGUGAUGAUUAUUGGAGGUAGAGCACUGUUUGGACGAGGGGCCCCUCUCGGGUUACCGAAUUCAGACAAACUCCGAAUGCCAAUUAAUUUAACUUGGGAGUCAGAACAUGGGUGAUAAGGUCCGUGUUCGAAAGGGAAACAGCCCAGACCACCAGCUAAG